GAGUAACACGUGACUAACCUAACCCUUUUAGUUGGGGGGAGUAAACCUCGGGGAAAACCGAGGCUAAUACCGCAUAACAUCGCAAGAUCAAAGCAGCAAUGCGCUGGAAGAGGGGGUCGCGGCUGAUUAGCUAGUUGGCGGGGUAACGGCCCACCAAGGCGAAGAUCGGUAGCCGGCCUGAGAGGGCGCACGGCCACACUGGAACUGAAACACGGUCCAG
RNAcentral lists this ribosomal RNA (220 nucleotides) under uncultured bacterium. Its description in RNAcentral is "partial 16S ribosomal RNA". It matches the Rfam family "Bacterial small subunit ribosomal RNA", at positions 108 to 334 of the family's 1533-position model. The record is from RNAcentral.